Molecule: long non-coding RNA, 811 nt
Organism: Manacus vitellinus (golden-collared manakin)
Lineage: Eukaryota; Metazoa; Chordata; Aves; Passeriformes; Pipridae
Exons: 3
Source: RefSeq, a predicted model, not a curated record
CUGGGUUCAUCUCUGCUCUGUUAUUCUUAGUGCUUACAUUAGCAUAGUCUCUGGGAGCCCUAGCCAUGGUUCAGCAGGGCACUACUCAAAUGCAGAAUAUAAAUGUUCAUGUUCCCAAGCUCAGCUAUUAAGAAGGAAGAAAAGAGCAGAGACAGACUGAGGAGUGUCAUGGGCUACUCAUUGUGAUGAGCAGGAAGGAGUCUCAGGGCAGCAGCAGCACUGCAGCUGGAGAGCUGCUUGAAUUGGGCCCAGGAAGCAGAGUUUAGAGGAAUAGGAAUUAAUUAGGAUGUCUAACUAUUGGAUAAUUAUGGCAGUCCCAAUAAUAAUGCUGUUUCUUUGGACUCCUCCACCUUUGCUUUUUUGCCCAAGCAAAAGAAGAAGCUGCAUAGUGACAUAGUUGUACUGGAGGCUUCAGUAACUCUUCUCUGUCUUUCUGUGAAUGGGACUGUUCUUUUAUGGCAAGAAUCCUGGGGGAUAAAAUCUCCAGGCAUGUAUAUCAUGCAAAUAUGCAUAACAACAUUGCUGAAGAGGCUGACUUGUCCCUGCAGUCCAGACUGCACCAACUGAGCGACUUCAAUUAAACAGUUUCUCGCAUUUUGUGUUGAGAUCUGAGCUGCUGCUCUCCCAGGCAGGAUGAAAUGGCAGGAUUCAGUCCCUUUUCCAGGUCAUUACACCAGCAGCUCCUGGGAAGCUGGUUCGUUACAGGGAACAGUGCAGUGCUCCUGGCAUUUCACACAGUGAGAUCUGAGGCAAAUGGAAUACCCAGCAGUCCUGUUUUUAAAGAUAUCUACUUCACAGGAAGAGUUUAGCU